RNAcentral lists this ribosomal RNA (259 nucleotides) under uncultured Limnofila. RNAcentral describes it as "partial 18S ribosomal RNA". The stretch from base 62 to 221 matches the Rfam family "Eukaryotic small subunit ribosomal RNA", at positions 741 to 974 of the family's 1831-position model. Lineage: Eukaryota; Cercozoa; Cercomonadida. The record is from RNAcentral.
GUAGUUGGAUUUCUGGCGAACCGUUGCGGCCCGUUCCCAUUCACUUGGCCGGACGUACGCGAUCUGGAUCGAUUACUUUGAAAAAAUUAGAGUGUUUAAAGCAGGCUUAUGCUGUGAAUACAUUAGCAUGGAAUAAGUAAUGGUUGAUAGGGACAGUUGGGGGUUCUUGGAUUCGCGGAAGACUAACUACUGCGAAAGCAUUCACCAAGGAUGUCUUCUUCUGUCUCUUAUACACAUCUCCGAGCCCACGAGACGCUAA